This 254-nucleotide unclassified non-coding RNA is filed under the name uncultured Pleosporales. RNAcentral describes it as "sequence contains 5.8S rRNA gene, ITS2, 28S rRNA gene". The record is from RNAcentral. Lineage: Eukaryota; Fungi; Ascomycota; Dothideomycetes; Pleosporales.
AACGCACAUUGCGCCCUAUAGUAUUCUGUAGGGCAUGCCUGUUCGAGCGUCAUUUAACCCCUCAAGCCCAGCUUGGUAUUGGGUGCUUGUCCCGCCUCUCGCGCGGCGACUCACCUCAAAGUCAUUGGCAGCCCGCAAUUGCCGGCCGUGAGCGCAGCACAGACGCGCUUGUGGACCCCGGCGGUUCGGCUCUCCAAAAGCUUAAUUCAACCACAAUUGACCUCGGAUCAGGUAGGGAUACCCGCUGAACUUAA